RNAcentral lists this ribosomal RNA (257 nucleotides) under uncultured Basidiomycota. Its description in RNAcentral is "partial 18S ribosomal RNA". It matches the Rfam family "Eukaryotic small subunit ribosomal RNA", at positions 624 to 886 of the family's 1831-position model. The record is from RNAcentral. Lineage: Eukaryota; Fungi; Basidiomycota.
AAGCUCGUAGUUGAAUUUCGAAUGUGGCUGGGCGGUCCGCCUCACGGUGUGUACUGUCUGGCUGUGUUCUCUUUCUUGGUGAGCCGGCAUGCCCUUUACUGGGUGUGUUGGGGAACCAGGACGUUUACCUUGAGAAAAUUAGAGUGUUCAAAGCAGGCCUACGCCCGAAUACAUUAGCAUGGCAUAAUAAAAUAGGACGUGCGGUUCUAUUUUGUUGGUUCCUAGAGCCGCAGUAAUGAUUAAUAGGGAUAGUUGGG